AAAUACAUAUUUUCAUUCAUUUAAUUUUCUUUUCCCCAAAUUUCUCUCUCUCUCUCUCUCUCUCUCUCUCUCUAACCGUUUUCGAUUCCACCACCAUUGCGCUCGCUCUCCAUUGUCACCGCCGUCGCCGAUUACUCUCGGUUGUCACCGCCGUCAUCACUCAUCUCACCACCGUUGUGAAUCGUGCACCACCGUUGUGGCUCAUCUCACCGGAUCUCAAAGUGUUCUCGAUCUAAUCUCGCUUUCGAUCUACACUGUAUCAUCGUCAAGCUCUCAAAUCUCACAUUGACAUUCUCAUUCUUCCUUUCUCCAUAGCUUUCCUGGUAUUGACCUGCAAUGAUUUUGUUUUUGUAGUGCAUUUCUCGUACUUUUGAUUCACAGUUGGAUAAAUUUGCCCAAUCCUGAACCCUAAUUUCAGAUUAUCAUUUUUAACUUGAUACUUUUCUUUGAUUUUUUGGUACUUUCUUAGAUUGAACUCUUUUAAUUUUCGGAUUUCUAUUUCCAAUUUGCUUAAUAUCGUGCUUUUUUAUUCGAUUCAGUUUUGGAAAAUUGUCAGUAUUACUGUAUUUUGGUCUUGGUUGUUGAUCAUUGUUAGCAGAACCAUACGACGGAGAUAUGGCGGAGGCAACUUAUGUUGAAGAGAUAACCUAGCUAAGGUUGCAACCAUAAAAUAAACUUUUGCUUUAAUUUUCAUUUAAUUUUUCAAUUGUGCUCUAAUAGUUAUGUAGUUUUUCUAAUUGUGCAAUAAAUUAUUUUCUAGCAUUUGAAAUAACUUGUAACAUGACAUGGUAUUGAAGCUUGCACUUCAUCUAGUGUCAUCUAUCAUAUCUAAUAAACAUACUAUUAGAAUAUGUGUCUAUGUUGAGUUGUUUUGGUUUAGUUUCGAUUAUGUGAAGCAUGCCAUAGUUUGAUGGAAGGGUGGAUCAAGUGGGCCUUGACUUUGGUCCUAAGCCCAAAAUGUGGAGAGUGUAUGAAAGAAAGCAUUUCAAGAAGAAUAAUAAAGGAUGACGUGGAUUGAAAAGGUGGAGGGGAUGCAUGAGUUUGCUUGCACUACUUAUAGUUGGUUAGGAGGAGAGAGAAAGGGUAUCUUAUUCAUUCUGUUAGAACUUGCAUUCACAAUACGUGAAUAGGGGGCCUUUGUGCUUUGGGAGAAUUGAUAAUUCUUAUCAAUUCUACAGUUAUCUUUGUUUGUUGCUUUCAUCCAUUUUCCAUUCAUAAGUGUAAUUGUUCAUCUAGUCAUUAAUACAAUUACUUCUUUCCCUAUUUUACAUAUUAUUCACUCUUAGUUCUAUCAUAGUUCACAUUGCAUAAUUUUUUUUUUGGAAUUUUGAUCUUUUGAAUUGUGUGCUUUAGUUAGUAAAUGUUUUGUGUGCUUAAAAAGCUGGUCAAUAAAUUAAGGGUGAAAUAUUUGUUUUACUUCUAAGUGGAUGCUUUGUUUUAAACUGUCUAAGCAGGUUUCUUGGAAGACAUAUUCAAUAUAGUUUCAUUACAUUUUUAUUAUAUUACACCAUUGUAACUACUUUGAAGCAUCAUAAUGCAUAAUCUUCUUAUCCGAAUUCUCAUAAGUUUUUUGUCUUCUUCCAAUUUACUCAGUUUGUAUAUAUUUAGUGUAGUUUUAAAAUGUUAUCUUUGACAUAACUGUUAAUAGUUUUUAAUUUGAGAAAAUAAGAAUUAUCUUGUUAGAUNNNNNNNNNNNNNNNNNNNNNNNNNNNNNNNNNNNCACCUAAUAAUUCCUUGCAUAUGACUUAUCUUGACAGCUAUGUCUCUAUUUAAAGCUAUUGGCCCUGCUGCUGCUGGUACAAUG
Molecule: long non-coding RNA, 1804 nt
Filed under: Trifolium pratense (red clover)
Lineage: Eukaryota; Viridiplantae; Streptophyta; Magnoliopsida; Fabales; Fabaceae
Description: long non-coding RNA (TPRA_LNC006884)
Source: RNAcentral